This 253-nucleotide ribosomal RNA is filed under the name uncultured bacterium. RNAcentral describes it as "partial 16S ribosomal RNA". It matches the Rfam family "Bacterial small subunit ribosomal RNA", at positions 524 to 776 of the family's 1533-position model. The record is from RNAcentral.
UACGAAGGGUGCAAGCGUUACUCGGAAUUACUGGGCGUAAAGCGUGCGUAGGCGGUUUGUUAAGUCCGCUGUGAAAGCCCUGGGCUCAACCUGGGAAUUGCAGUGGAUACUGGCAAGCUAGAGUGCGGUAGAGGAUGGUGGAAUUCCCGGUGUAGCGGUGAAAUGCGUAGAGAUCGGGAGGAACACCUGUGGCGAAGGCGGCCAUCUGGACCAGCACUGACGCUGAGGCACGAAAGCGUGGGGAGCGAACAGG